AGAGUUUGAUCAUGGCUCAGAACGAACGCUGGCGGCAGGCCUCAAACAUGCAAGUCUAGGGGGUGUAGCAAUACAUCACCGGCGGACGGGUGCGUAACGCGUGGGAAUAUACCUAUCGAUUCGGAACAACUGAGGGAAACUUCAGCUAAUACCGAAUACGUCCUAACGGAGAAAGAUUUAUCGUCGAUAGAUUAGCCCGCGUUCGAUUAGCUAGUUGGUGGGGUAACGGCCCACCAAGGCGACGAUCGAUAGCUGUUCUGAGAGGAAGAUCAGCCACACUGGGACUGAGACACGGCCCAGACUCCUACGGGAGGCAGCAGUUGGGAAUCUUGGACAAUGGGGGAAACCCUGAUCCAGCCAUGCCGCGUGAGUGAUGAAGGCCUUCGGGUUGUAAAACUCUUUCGCGCACGACGAUAAUGACGGUAGUGCGAGAAGAAGCUCCGGCUAACUUCGUG
This 455-nucleotide ribosomal RNA is filed under the name uncultured bacterium. Its description in RNAcentral is "bacterial SSU rRNA". It matches the Rfam family "Bacterial small subunit ribosomal RNA", at positions 8 to 507 of the family's 1533-position model. The record is from RNAcentral.